CGGACCAAUAGAGGACCUCCCGGGAACUGGGGCUAAUUUCCGAUAGGUAAAACACCCUGGAAUGGGUCUUCGCUCAAAGGGCGCUUAGGGCAUGCUUCUAAGCGUUGCCUAAGGAUGGGGCCGCGGCCGAUCAGGUUGUUGGUGAGGUAACGGCUCACCAAGCCUUUAACCGGUACGGGCCGUGGGAGCGGUAGCCCGGAGAUGGGCACUGAGACAAGGGCCCAGGCCCUACGGGGCGCAGCAGUCGCGAAAACUUCGCAAUAAGCGAAAGCUUGACGGGGCUAUCCCGAGUGCCAUCUGCUGAGGAUGGCUUUUACCCAGUGUAGAUAGCUGGGGGAAUAAGGAGAGGGCAAGUCUGGUGUCAGCCGCCGCGGUAAUACCAGCUCUCCGAGUUGUGGGGAUGAUUAUUGGGCCUGAAGCAUCCGUAGCCGGCUGGGCAAGUCCCCUGUUAAACCCAGCGACUAAUCGUUGGUAUGCGGGGGAUACUGCUUGGCUAGGGGGCGGGAGAGGCCGUCGGUAUUCUCGGGGUAGGGGUGAAAUCCUAUAAUCCCGGGAAGACCACCAGUGGCGAAGGCUGUCGGCUAGAACGCGCCCGACGGUGAGGGAUGAAAGCUGGGGGAGCAAACCGGAUUAGAUACCCGGGUAGUCCCAGCUGUAAACUAUGCAAACUCAGUGAUGCAUUGGCUUGUGGCCAAUGCAGUGCUGCAGGGAAGCCGUUAAGUUUGCCGCCUGGGAAGUACGUACGCAAGUAUGAAACUUAAAGGAAUUGGCGGGGGAGCAC
RNAcentral lists this ribosomal RNA (781 nucleotides) under uncultured archaeon. RNAcentral's name for it is "bacterial SSU rRNA". It matches the Rfam family "Archaeal small subunit ribosomal RNA", at positions 117 to 879 of the family's 1478-position model. The record is from RNAcentral.